CAGUAGCCGCGGGAAUACGUAGGGUGCAAGCGUUAAUCGGAAUUACUGGGCGUAAAGCGUGCGCAGGCGGUUCGCUAAGACAGGUGUGAAAUCCCCGGGCUUAACCUGGGAACUGCAUUUGUGACUGGCGGGCUAGAGUAUGGCAGAGGGGGGUAGAAUUCCACGUGUAGCAGUGAAAUGCGUAGAGAUGUGGAGGAAUACCGAUGGCGAAGGCAGCCCCCUGGGCCAAUACUGACGCUCAUGCACGAAAGCGUGGGGAGCAAACAGGAUUAGAUACCCCUGUAGUCCCUGUCUCUUAUAA
Molecule: ribosomal RNA, 301 nt
Filed under: uncultured bacterium
Lineage: Bacteria
Description: partial 16S ribosomal RNA
Rfam family: Bacterial small subunit ribosomal RNA
Source: RNAcentral